UCUGUACUUCAGUGGUAGAAUAUCUGCUUUGCCUGCAGAAGAUCCCAGGAUUCAGUCCCUGGCAUCUCAA
Molecule: non-coding RNA, 70 nt
Organism: Podarcis lilfordi (Lilford's wall lizard)
Lineage: Eukaryota; Metazoa; Chordata; Lepidosauria; Squamata; Lacertidae
Source: the annotation of a GenBank genome assembly